RNAcentral lists this long non-coding RNA (741 nucleotides) under Ananas comosus (pineapple). RNAcentral's name for it is "long non-coding RNA (ACOM_LNC014901)". The record is from RNAcentral. Lineage: Eukaryota; Viridiplantae; Streptophyta; Magnoliopsida; Poales; Bromeliaceae.
CAUAUGGCGGGUCUGGACCAUAGUUAGUUAAUUCGCGAUUAAUACCCGAAUUAUUCGCGAAUUUUUAAAUAUACGAUUUAAACGGUCCGUUCCCGUAUUUUUUCGAAAUUUUUGAAAAAAAACGCGUCUUCUUCCUCAAAAAUAAUUAUUCGCGAAUUAUUCGCGAUUCGCGAACGAUUCACCCAAAAAAACGGACGCUUGUGGUCGCAGAUUUGCAGCCGAGGGUCGCGUUGUCGCCGCUCUCGUCACCGAGCUCGUCUGAGUCGUAGUCGUCCUCCUCCGCCGCCCUGGCCGGCGCCGGGAGCAAGAGCCGUGGCGGCAGAUCCGGCCUCAUCGUCGUCCUCCUCCACCUCCAUGCUCGGCGCCAGGAGCAAGAGCAGCUGCGGCAGAUCCGCCCAAGGCCGUCAGCGGAAAAGACGAAGUGGGAUUGUAGGGAACAGUGUAAAAAUCGCGGCGUUUUGAGUUAUGCAUCAUGCGCGGUCCACGAGGCCGCGUGAGAAGGAGGUNUUAUUAUAUAGCCGAAUUUUUUAUUCCGAAUUUUUAAUGGUUGAACGUAUAAUAUCCGUAUAAAUCACGUAUCCGAAUAAUUACCGAAUCCGUUUUUUAGCCGUAUUUUUCAACAAAUUUAAAAAUUAAGAGACGAAUUUUAUCCGAAUUAUAUUCGUACCGAAUUUUUGCCGAAUCCGAAUUAACUAACUAUGGUCUGGACACGCACCGGGCGGGUCUCGGCCGGGUCCCGGG